UACGUAGGGUGCAAGCGUUGUCCGGAAUUAUUGGGCGUAAAGAGCUCGUAGGCGGUUUGUCGCGUCGGCUGUGAAAACCCGGGGCUCAACCCCGGGCCUGCAGUCGAUACGGGCAAACUAGAGUGUGGUAGGGGAGACUGGAAUUCCUGGUGUAGCGGUGAAAUGCGCAGAUAUCAGGAGGAACACCGAUGGCGAAGGCAGGUCUCUGGGCCACUACUGACGCUGAGAAGCGAAAGCAUGGGGAGCGAACAGG
RNAcentral lists this ribosomal RNA (253 nucleotides) under uncultured bacterium. RNAcentral's name for it is "partial 16S ribosomal RNA". It matches the Rfam family "Bacterial small subunit ribosomal RNA", at positions 524 to 776 of the family's 1533-position model. The record is from RNAcentral.